This is a non-coding RNA of Oncorhynchus mykiss (rainbow trout), 438 nucleotides long. NCBI's taxonomy places the organism in Eukaryota, Metazoa, Chordata, Actinopteri, Salmoniformes, Salmonidae. The record is from RefSeq and is a predicted model, not a curated record.
CCUCCAGGCCCAGACUGUAGGCCAUCACACGAAGCACCCGGAGACACAGGUCCUUACAGCGCAGGAAGAACGACGACUGAACCUCAAAGAAUCCAUUCCCUCCAUCCCACGAUGGCCAUUUCUACAGACCAGGAAGAGUUGUCCUGGUGAGUUCUGUUCCUAGAUGGAGUUCUAUCAGCCUGGUGAGUUCUGUUCCUAGAUGGAGUUCUAUCAGCCUGGUGAGUUCUGUUCCUAGAUGAAGUUCUAUCAGCCUGGUGAGUUCUGUUCCUAGAUGGAGUUCUAUCAGCCUGGUGAGUUCUGUUCCUAGAUGAAGUUCUAUCAGAGUGGUUGAACUCUGUAUAUGGCUCAGAGUGAAGUCAAUCCCUUUGUACCUUGACCUUAACACUGAUAGCAACAACAACCACAGCAGAGAAGUUGGAUGUGUCUACAGCUGUCGCA